CAACAUAAAAAAACCUAAAAACGUAGCUCUGUCUCCUCCUCGAGGGAAGAAAAAAGCUAAAUCUAAGCUUCAAUACUUCAUGUCGACUCCAUUGUUCCAACCUACUAGAGAAUCAUUCUCACCUUGUUAUCAAUUGUUUUCUUAUGAAAUCCUAAAUCGUGUUAACCAACUUAACCUUAAAUAACAUUAAAAUCAAAUCAAAACUGAAAUUAUUCUGAGUUUCCUCCUUUCUUCUUAUUCUUCUUCGACGAUAACCUGGAUAAUGAUAAUAUGGUGUUACAAACCCUAGAUAUGGGAUUUCGUAAUUGCUGGAAUUGACUGCUAUGUUGAGUAGAUGAGGAAAGGGAAAAUAAAAUAAAAUAAAAUAAAAUAGAAGUAGGUCAAUGAAGUGGUGGUGGUGGUUAUUCUUAACUUCAUCAGAAAAAGAUGAACAUCCUAAAGAUUGAUAGGAACAGGUUUUUAGAAGAAUUACUGGUAUGGGUUUUCAUUUGUGUUAUUCAUCUACUGUAUGUACUGAUGGGUUACUCUUAUGAUUUACACUGCUUUUGCUUGUUGUGUUAUAUUGAUAGAACAUAGACACUGUUAUUAUGCAUUGUAACUAGAUUGGGAUCUACUGAGGUUAUAUACAGAAUGUUUCUAGGUAAUGUAGUCUCAAGCAUUUCAGCAGGGUACAUACACAAAUUUGUUUUAUGAUCAAUUUUCAUGUGGUUCAUUGUUGUAUAUUCGUGUAGAAGUAUAACUGUGACUGGAUAAUACUCAAUUAUUCACACUUAUUGAAUAUAUGUUGUUGUCUAAAAAGCAAAAUUAGUUGUUGGAGAAUGAAGCAGCUUUGUAUACUUCUGCAGUUUGCUUUCCAUUGUUGCUUUGAUAAUUCGUUUGUGAUUCUUUUUUUUUAUUCUUAUGCAUGUUGGUACGAACAUUUCAUUCAGACUUCCUACUGUAUUCUCAUCUUCGUUCAAGAUUUUGUUCCAAUAAAUUGAAAGCUGCACUAGAUGAACCAUCACUAGCAUAGUUACAUGCGGCAGCGAUAGAGAGAGUUGUGUUGGCAUCCAAACAGAGUUAUGGAAUCUCUGUUAUACCGUUUUCUUGAUGUUGCAAGUUGUGAAGUUGAUGAAAUUGAAGUGGAACAUCAUCUCCGAAGUAACUCUGUGGGAACUAUAAGAAUGUUCUGGGCUUCUUUCCUUUCCUAGCUUUCUUACUUCUUAGGAAGCUGUAGCUUUUGUAUCACCACAAGGUCUAAAUUUUUGGGUUCAUUUUAGAGAUCUUCUUAUCAAGGGAAAGGAUAAUCACAUUUGAACUUCUUUAUCUCUUAAUAAGAUCAUCUUAUAGUUGAUCUGAAAUUUCAGAUGCUCAUAGGAGUUUGGUUGGAUAAGAACGAUUUUAUGAAGCAAGGCAAUGAAUACAGACAUGAACUAUUUCAGUUUGCAAUGCGUUUCAAACAUUUCAUAACUCUUCAUGAUGCUUCCAACUUAUCUUGUUGCAGGUUUUGGUCGAAUCGGUGACUGAGUGAGUGAGUUUGGAAAAUUGGUGGUUGAUCCAAAAACCAAUGAACUUCUGCACUUCACGGAGAAACCCGAGACAUUUGUAUGUACAAGGCCCAAAGUUCGCUGACUUUUUUGAUCAUAUUUAAGUGAUACAAUGUUUUAACGAUUCAAGUGGUUGGUUUUGUUUUCUCUUCAUAAUGAACCCUGAACCCUGAACCUUCACGGAGAAACCCGAGACAUUUGUAUGUACAAGGCCCAAAGUUCGUUGACUUUUUUGAUCAUAUUUAAGAAACAGUGUUUUAACGAUUCAAGUGGUUGGUUCUGUUUUCUCUUCAUAAUGUAUUUUAAUAAGCAGAUGUACUCAUUCAUUGCAGUAUGAAUUUGUAUUAGGUCAUGUUAUUGAGUACGUACAAUAAUCUGGUCUUACUCAUCUCUAAUCUUCAUUUCGUGUUUACAGCUAAUCUCCGACGUGUAUCCAGCUUUCUCUUCAGUUUGCAACAAAGUAAGAUUUUAUUUCUGCUUCUCGGCUUUCAUUUCUAAAUAUUUUCAUUUUGUUGAAGAUAGUACUUAUAUUUUUUGGUAAUGGUGCAUCACUUUGCAUGCAUCAAUAUCUUACUUUUGUGAGCUUUCAGUAUUCGUUAAUCAGGGUUCUUUUUUCUUCCCUUUCUUGGGACUGCAUUUGUUAUGUUUUUUUUCUAAUGAUUAUGAUGUCAGGUAUAUGCAAAAAUAGUUGUAUGAUAAGUCUUAUUAUUACUGUAAAACGAGAAAGAAAAUUUUAUGUUGUUAUAAUCAUCAUCAUUAUAUAUAGGCGUCAAACUUGAACUAGAUUUAAAUAUAUGCCUGAAUUUUAGGAGUCCAUGUCUAUUAAUGGCUAUAGUUAACGACAUGUCCCAGUCUCAUGUCAGAAUGGUGGAGCUGGUCCUAAAAUUGUAGAACAAAGUACCAUGAUUAUCCCCAUGUGAAAAGGGUGGUGUGGCUACUUAAAUUGUGUUGCUCACCGAACUAGCAAGACCAGAGGUUAGUUAUUCUGCCUUCAAUUUUCAGGGCCAGUUAGUAGGUAAUUACUCUGGAUAACUAGGUUAUCCAUCAUGUAGCCUUGGUCAUGAUAUUAACUACAAAAGCCUUCUUGUUAUUUACGGCGACCAGAAUGGUUACUGUUACUAUUUGAGUUUGAAGUCAUCAACAUCGACAUAAUUGUAUUCUUGUUAGAUUUUAAACUCUAGUUCCUAGGUCUUGAUCAUGUAAACAGAUUAUGUUCGUGUUAAUGGAUCGAUCCAAGCUACAACAUCGGAUGGUAAAGACAAGUUUUUCAGAUUACUGAGACACAACAGAAAGCAAUGUUUAUAGGGACAUAUCUCAUGUCCUUUAGUGCAUGUAAAACCCUCAUUAUCGACAAUCUUUUUUGUAAUGUGCCUAUGUUUGACUUUUCCUUUUUUACCAUUGUUUUGCAUCACAAGUUUGUCUUAUCUCAGUCUCCGAGGAGAAACCAAAGGAAUCUGAUCGCUCUGGCAUUGAAGAUUUGAUUAUUGUGCUUUAGAUCUUAUUGUUUCUGAUCUUAUGACCUGUCUAUAUGUUUAUCUUUAAUCUUCAUUUCAUAUUUACAGCUAAUAUUGAACGUGUAUCCAGCUUUUUGUUCAGUCCGCAAAAAGUGAUUCCUUACUGAUUUUAUAAGCCUGGAUCAAGAUAUAAGUAAACUCCUAUUGCUGGGAAGAGAAAUAACUUUAUACUUUUGAGGGUAUAUUUCAGGGAAAACAUCAAAACUCCUGACUAGACCAAUCUGCAAGUAAAGGAAUGUUGCAUCAUCCAUCUUUUGAGAGUAAUGUCCAACGUUUGUUGGAAACUCUGUACUAGUCUUGAAUUUCUGUUAUGCUUAGGUUUUCUUUGUGUUGGUUCCAGUGAAAUUAUGACCUUGUAAUUCUUUUCUGAAUGAAUAAAUGAUGUUGGAAUGUUUGCAGCGUGAUAAUUUUAUUUCCAUGUCAAUCUGAAUGAAUAAAUGAUGUUGGAAUGA
Papaver somniferum (opium poppy) is the source of this 3492-nucleotide long non-coding RNA. RefSeq lists it as uncharacterized. The record is from RefSeq and is a predicted model, not a curated record. The transcript is spliced from 3 exons. Lineage: Eukaryota; Viridiplantae; Streptophyta; Magnoliopsida; Ranunculales; Papaveraceae.